Rattus norvegicus (Norway rat) is the source of this 295-nucleotide non-coding RNA. Lineage: Eukaryota; Metazoa; Chordata; Mammalia; Rodentia; Muridae. The record is from RefSeq and is a predicted model, not a curated record.
GCUUCCCUGGCCGGCUCCCGCUGACAAGGUCUUGAAAAACAAGCUGGGAUCUGUCAGAACCUUAACAGGCACACGCCUCCUUACCGAAUCAGAGAAGACAGAUGGUGAAGGUACCAGAGGGGUGACCUGCUGAGGGACAAGCUCCUCGUGGAUGCUUCCAGAUCGCUGUCCUGCCUGCCCUUCCUGAAGCUCAUAGGUUCCCAGUAGCCUCCUGGGGCAACACCCAAAGCACAUCACCCUGUUGAGAACUACAAGGUCACAGCUAAGGGUCUUCAAUGAAUGCCCGCCCCGCACA